Molecule: ribosomal RNA, 490 nt
Filed under: uncultured bacterium
Lineage: Bacteria
Description: partial 16S ribosomal RNA
Rfam family: Bacterial small subunit ribosomal RNA
Source: RNAcentral
GUUGAACGCUGGCGGCAUGCCUUACACAUGCAAGUCGAACGGCAGCAUGAUCUAGCUUGCUAGAUUGAUGGCGAGUGGCGAACGGGUGAGUAAUACAUCGGAACGUGCCCUGUAGUGGGGGAUAACUAGUCGAAAGAUUAGCUAAUACCGCAUACGACCUGAGGGUGAAAGUGGGGGACCGCAAGGCCUCAUGCUAUAGGAGCGGCCGAUGUCUGAUUAGCUAGUUGGUGAGGUAAAGGCUCACCAAGGCGACGAUCAGUAGCUGGUCUGAGAGGACGAUCAGCCACACUGGGACUGAGACACGGCCCAGACUCCUACGGGAGGCAGCAGUGGGGAAUUUUGGACAAUGGGCGAAAGCCUGAUCCAGCAAUGCCGCGUGUGUGAAGAAGGCCUUCGGGUUGUAAAGCACUUUUGUCCGGAAAGAAAUGGCUCUGGUUAAUACCUGGGGUCGAUGACGGUACCGGAAGAAUAAGGACCGGCUAACUACGUG